GACGAACGCUGGCGGCGUGCUUAACACAUGCAAGUCGAGCGGUAAGGCCCUUUCGGGGGUACACGAGCGGCGAACGGGUGAGUAACACGUGGGUGACCUACCCUCAGCUCUGGGAUAAGCCCGGGAAACUGGGUCUAAUACUGGAUAUGACUCCAUGACGCAUGUUGUGGGGUGGAAAGCCUUGUGCGGCUGAGGAUGGGCCCGCGGCCUAUCAGCUUGUUGGUGGGGUGAUGGCCUACCAAGGCGACGACGGGUAGCCGGCCUGAGAGGGCGACCGGCCACACUGGGACUGAGACACGGCCCAGACUCC
This 310-nucleotide ribosomal RNA is filed under the name uncultured bacterium. RNAcentral's name for it is "bacterial SSU rRNA". It matches the Rfam family "Bacterial small subunit ribosomal RNA", at positions 28 to 339 of the family's 1533-position model. The record is from RNAcentral.